GAGUUUGAUCAUGGCUCAGAUUGAACGCUGGCGGCAUGCCUUACACAUGCAAGUCGAACGGCAGCAUGAUCUAGCUUGCUAGAUUGAUGGCGAGUGGCGAACGGGUGAGUAAUACAUCGGAACGUGCCCUGUAGUGGGGAUAACUAGUCGAAAGAUUAGCUAAUACCGCAUACGACCUGAGGGUGAAAGUGGGGGACCGCAAGGCCUCAUGCUAUAGGAGCGGCCGAUGUCUGAUUAGCUAGUUGGUGGGGUAAAGGCCCACCAAGGCGACGAUCAGUAGCUGGUCUGAGAGGACGAUCAGCCACACUGGGACUGAGACACGGGCCCAGACUCCUACGGGAGGCAGCAGUGGGGAAUUUUGGACAAUGGGCGAAAGCCUGAUCCAGCAAUGCCGCGUGUGUGAAGAAGGCCUCGG
Molecule: ribosomal RNA, 415 nt
Filed under: uncultured microorganism
Description: bacterial SSU rRNA
Rfam family: Bacterial small subunit ribosomal RNA
Source: RNAcentral